AGUUAAUGAACUUGAAUAAGUAUAUAUUUUGAAAAUAUAACAUAGAGGUAAAUCUCUAUUAACUU
RNAcentral lists this transfer RNA (65 nucleotides) under Stenus boops. Its description in RNAcentral is "tRNA-Ser". Lineage: Eukaryota; Metazoa; Arthropoda; Insecta; Coleoptera; Staphylinidae. The record is from RNAcentral.